CCUACGGGCGGCAGCAGUAGGGAAUUUUCGUCAAUGGGCGCAAGCCUGAACGAGCAAUGCCGCGUGAACGAGGAAGGUCUUCGGAUCGUAAAGUUCUGUUGAAGGGGAAAAAGAGCGGAGAGAGGAAAUGGUCUCCGAUUGAUAUUACCCUUCGAGGAAGUCACGGCUAACUACGUGCCAGCAGCCGCGGUAAUACUUAGGUGGCGAGGGUUAUCCGGAAUGAUUGUGCGAAAAGGGUGCGUAGGCGGCCUGCUAAGUCUGGAGUGAAAGGUACCGGCUCAACCGGUACAGGCUCUGGAAACUGGCGGGCUAGAGAGCAGGAGAGGGCGGUGGAACUCCAUGUGUAGCGGUAAAAUGCGUAGAUAUAUGGAAGAACACCAGUGGCGAAGGCGGCCGCCUGGCCUGUUACUGACGCUGAGGCACGAAAGCGUGGGGAGCAAAUAGGAUUAGAUACCCUUGUAGUC
This 464-nucleotide ribosomal RNA is filed under the name uncultured bacterium. RNAcentral describes it as "partial 16S ribosomal RNA". It matches the Rfam family "Bacterial small subunit ribosomal RNA", at positions 338 to 795 of the family's 1533-position model. The record is from RNAcentral.